CAGUCGCCGCGGUAAUACGAACCGUGCGAACGUUAUUCGGAAUCACUGGGCUUAAAGCGCGUGUAGGCGGGCCGCCACGUCGGCUGCUGAAAUCCCCCGGCUCAACCGGGGAAGUGGCACCGAUACGAGCGGCCUCGAGGGGGGUAGGGGGGACUGGAACUUCCGGUGGAGCGGUGAAAUGCGUUGAGAUCGGAAGGAACGCCCGUGGCGAAAGCGAGUCCCUGGACCCUUUCUGACGCUGAGACGCGAAAGCCAGGGGAGCGAACGGGAUUAGAUACCCCUGUAGUCCCUGUCUCUUAUA
RNAcentral lists this ribosomal RNA (301 nucleotides) under uncultured bacterium. RNAcentral describes it as "partial 16S ribosomal RNA". It matches the Rfam family "Bacterial small subunit ribosomal RNA", at positions 509 to 807 of the family's 1533-position model. The record is from RNAcentral.